ACCACGCAUUAAGAGAGGACUGAUGUCCCGCCAACCUGCGUGUUCCAGCAAGGUGGUUGCCUUAAUUAGGCGAUGAGACCUAAGGGUAACCAACGGGUCAUCA
RNAcentral lists this non-coding RNA (103 nucleotides) under unclassified sequences. Its description in RNAcentral is "SAM-I-IV sequence". It matches the Rfam family "SAM-I/IV (S-adenosyl methionine) riboswitch aptamer". From Rfam's summary of the family: It is found upstream of a number of genes which code for proteins involved in methionine or cysteine biosynthesis. The record is from Rfam by way of RNAcentral.